CCAAAUCCGUGUGGCAAUACGAAGACGUGACGCGGACCGAAAUAAAAUAGGGAAGCAUGUGAGCCAUGUGCCAAGAAAAUCCGCUAUAGAUCAUACCGUACCCGUACCGUAAACCGACACAGGUAGAUGAGGAGAGAAUCCUAAGGCCGACGGGAGAAGCAUUGUUAAGGAACUCGGCAAAAUGACCCCGUAACUUCGGGAGAAGGGGUGCCCACGCGAGUGGGCCGCAGAGAAUAGGCUCAAGCAACUGUUUAGCAAAAACACAGGUCUAUGCGAAACCGAAAGGUGAGGUAUAUGGGCUGACGCCUGCCCGGUGCUGGAAGGUUAAGAGGAGGAGUCAGGCAACGAAGCUCCGAAUUUAAGCCCCAGUAAACGGCGGCCGUAACAAUAACGGUCCUAAGGUAGCGAAAUUCCUUGUCGGAUAAGUUCCGACCCGCACGAAAGGCGUAAUGAUUUGAGCACUGUCUCGACAAUGCACCCGGUGAAAUUGAAGUACCAGUGAAGAUGCUGGUUACCUGCGCCAGGACGGAAAGACCCCAUGGAGCUUUACUCCAGUUUGAUACUGGGAUUCGAUACUGAAUGUACAGGAUAGGUGGGAGGCUGAGAAGCGUGGACGCCAGUCUGCGGUGAGCCGCUGUUGGGAUACCACCCUUUGAGUAUUGGAUUUCUAACCUGCGCCCGUGACCCGGGCGGGGGACAAUGUCUGACGGGGAGUUUGACUGGGGCGGUCGCCUCCGAAAGGGUAUCGGAGGCGCUCAAAGGUUCCCUCAGAAUGGUUGGAAACCAUUCGCAGAGUGCAAAGGCAGAAGGGAGCUUGACUGUGACACCGACGGGUGGAGCAGGUACGAAAGUAGGACUUAGUGAUCCGGUGGUAUGAAAGUGGGAUUGCCAUCGCUCAACGGAUAAAAGCUACCCUGGGAUAACAGGCUUAUCACUCCCAAGAGUUCACAUCGACGGAGUGGUUUGGCACCUCGAUGUCGGCUCAUCGCAUCCUGGGGCUGUAGCAGGUCCCAAGGGUUGGGCUGUUCGCCCAUUAAAGCGGUACGCGAGCUGGGUUCAGAACGUCGUGAGACAGUUCGGUCCCUAUCCGGCGCAGGCGUAGGAUAUUUGAGAGGAGCUGUCCUUAGUACGAGAGGACCGGGAUGGGCAGACCGCUGGUGUAUCUGUUGGUGACCAACACCAUGGCAGAGUAGCCAAGUCUGGCAGGGAUAAACGCUGAAGGCAUCUAAGCGUGAAGCCCCCCUCAAGAUGAGAUAUCCCAAUAAGUAAGACCCCUUAGAGAGUAUGAGGUAGAUAGGCUUAAGGUGUAAGCAUAGUAAUAUGUUCAGCUGAUAAGUACUAAUAGGUCGAGGGCUUACCAA
Molecule: ribosomal RNA, 1361 nt
Filed under: metagenome
Description: bacterial LSU rRNA
Rfam family: Bacterial large subunit ribosomal RNA
Source: RNAcentral